This 250-nucleotide ribosomal RNA is filed under the name uncultured bacterium. RNAcentral describes it as "partial 16S ribosomal RNA". It matches the Rfam family "Bacterial small subunit ribosomal RNA", at positions 524 to 776 of the family's 1533-position model. The record is from RNAcentral.
UACAGAGGGUGCAAGCGUUAAUCGGAAUUACUGGGCGUAAAGCGCACGUAGGUGGGAAGAUAAGUUUGAUGUGAAAGCCCUGGGCUUAACCUGGGAAUGGCGUUGAAGACUGUUUUCUAGAGUCGGACAGAGGGUUGUGGAAUUUCCGGUGUAGCGGUGAAAUGCGUAGAGAUCGGAAAGAACACCAGUGGCGAAGGCGACGGCCUGGGUCCAGACUGACACUGAGGGCGAAAGCGUGGGAGCAAACAGG